This 80-nucleotide small nucleolar RNA is filed under the name Lasius niger. Lineage: Eukaryota; Metazoa; Arthropoda; Insecta; Hymenoptera; Formicidae. The record is from RNAcentral.
AACUAAAUGAUGACAGCAUUAAUUUAAUUGAUAUUAUUGUGAUAUUAUAAUAUUUAUUGAGCUUUUUAACACUGACGUUC